This 1205-nucleotide long non-coding RNA is filed under the name Pan troglodytes (chimpanzee). RNAcentral describes it as "long non-coding RNA NONPTRT007207". The record is from RNAcentral. Lineage: Eukaryota; Metazoa; Chordata; Mammalia; Primates; Hominidae.
UAUUUCAGCCCUGGGAGAAUUCCACCUUCUGAAUAGUUUUCUCAAGCUAGAUAAUCAUAGGAAAGCAAGGACUUUCCCAUAAUUUUUAGUUCCUCUAAGCCAGUGCUUUCAAACUUUAGUUUGUGAUCCAUUAAUGGCUUGUAAAUUCAAUUUAGUGAGUCACAAUAAUUUUUAUAUGUUCUGGGUACCCAGUUACACUGUUACAAAGACAUACCUGAGACCGGGUAAUUUAUAAAGAAAAUAGGUUUAAUGUGCUCACGGUUCUGUGGGCUAUACAGGCAUCUGCAUCUGGGGAGGCUUCAGAAAACUUACAAUCAUAGCGGAAGUGGAAGUGGGCAUAUUUUCCCAUGGUUGGCAGGAGAGACAGAGGGAGAGUGUGCAUGUGUGUGGACACCCAAGCGAGUGAAGGGGGAAGUGCUACAAACUUUCCACUUUCUGACAACGGUAGCUCUUGAGAACUCACUAUCAACUAGAACAGCAAGGGGGAAAUCCACCCCAAUGAUCCAAUCAUUUCCACCAGGUCCCUCCCCCAAUUUUGGAGAUUACAAUUUAACAUGAGAUUUGGGUAGGGACACAGAGCCAAACCAUAUCACUUUCUUUUUCUUCUCUUUUUUUUUGAGACAGGGUUUUACUCUCUUGGGAGGCUGGAGUGCAGUGGGGUGAUCAUGGCUUGCUGAAACCUCUGCCUCUUGGGCUCAAGCAAUCCUCCCACCUCAGCCUCCUGAGUAGCUGUGCCACCACGCCUGGCUAAUUUUUGUACUUUUUGUUUCGCCAUGUUGGCCAGGCUGGUCUUGACUCCUGGCCUCAGGUGAUCUGCCCACCUUGGCCUCCCAAAGUGCUAGAAUUAUAAGCGUGAGCCACUGUGCCUGAACUAAAAUUUCUUUUUUUACCUCAUCCCUUUUACUUCUAAUCUUCUGUCUCUGAAGUAUGCUUGUUUUAGUUUGCUUUUUCCUUUUUCUUUCAACAACUCUCCUUCAAUCUCUACUGAUUCAUCUGUAGUCUAUUUAGUCGUUAUAUUGGGUAUAUUUACCUUUCUAGGUUUCAAAGCUUAGGAGAUAGCAAGGACUUUGCCUAAAAGAUCCUGAGCAGGGUACCAGUAGUUUUGGAUAAUCAUGGUAACUUCUGAGGUUUUUGUAUUAAGGAACGUGUUAUCAGAUAUCUAAUGUCACACACUAUGUGUGAGUGCAGUUUCUCAUGAAUUGCAG